RNAcentral lists this ribosomal RNA (105 nucleotides) under Meriones unguiculatus (Mongolian gerbil). The record is from RNAcentral. Lineage: Eukaryota; Metazoa; Chordata; Mammalia; Rodentia; Muridae.
GUCUAUGGCCAUACCACCCUAACAGUGCCUGAUCUCAUCUGAUCUCGGAGGGCCUGGUUAGUAUUUGAAUGGGAGACCGCCUGGGAAUACCGGGUGCUGUAGGCU